This 253-nucleotide ribosomal RNA is filed under the name uncultured bacterium. Its description in RNAcentral is "partial 16S ribosomal RNA". It matches the Rfam family "Bacterial small subunit ribosomal RNA", at positions 524 to 776 of the family's 1533-position model. The record is from RNAcentral.
UACGGAGGGUGCAAGCGUUAUCCGGAUUCACUGGGUUUAAAGGGUGCGUAGGCGGACAGGUAAGUCAGUGGUGAAAUCUCUGAGCUUAACUCAGAAACUGCCGUUGAUACUAUCUGUCUUGAAUAUCCUGGAGGUAAGCGGAAUAUGUCAUGUAGCGGUGAAAUGCUUAGAUAUGACAUAGAACACCGAUAGCGAAGGCAGCUUACUACAGGAUGAUUGACGCUGAGGCACGAAAGCGUGGGGAGCAAACAGG